Molecule: ribosomal RNA, 392 nt
Filed under: uncultured bacterium
Lineage: Bacteria
Description: partial 16S ribosomal RNA
Rfam family: Bacterial small subunit ribosomal RNA
Source: RNAcentral
ACACGUAGGGGCCUGACGUUGUUCGGAAUCAUUGGGCGUAAAGGGCGCGCAGGCGGCCGUCCAAGUCCGGUGUUAAAUGGUCGGGCUCAACCCGAUCAUGCGCUGGAAACUGGGCGGCUUGAGUCCCGUAGGGGAUGCCGGAAUUCCAGGUGUAGGGGUGAAAUCUGUAGAUAUCUGGAAGAACACAGAUGGCGAAGGCAGGCAUCUGGCCGGAGACUGACGCUGAGGCGCGAAGGCGCGGGGAGCGAACAGGUUUAGAUACCCUGGUAGUCCGCGCAGUAAACGAUGCGCACCAGGUGUCGGGCGGCAGCGCCCGGUACCGGAGCAAACGCGAUGAGUGCGCCGCCUGGGGAGUAUGCCCGCAAGGGUGAAACUCAAAUGAAUUGGCGGGG